This 59-nucleotide transfer RNA is filed under the name Prymnesium polylepis. RNAcentral describes it as "partial tRNA". The record is from RNAcentral. Lineage: Eukaryota; Haptophyta; Prymnesiales; Prymnesiaceae.
GAGGUAGCUCAGUGGUUAAGGGGUCGGACUUUUGGUCGGGAGGUGAGGGGUUCGAAUCU